GGUUCGGUAGUUCAGCUGGUUAGAACGCUAGCCUGUCACGCUAGAGGUCGUGGGUUCGAGCCCCAUCCGAAUCGCCA
This 77-nucleotide transfer RNA is filed under the name Candidatus Caccopulliclostridium gallistercoris. Its description in RNAcentral is "tRNA-Asp". It matches the Rfam family "tRNA". From Rfam's summary of the family: Transfer RNA (tRNA) molecules are approximately 80 nucleotides in length. Their secondary structure includes four short double-helical elements and three loops (D, anti-codon, and T loops). Lineage: Bacteria; Bacillati; Bacillota; Clostridia. The record is from RNAcentral.